AUUGAACGCUGGCGGCAUGCCUUACACAUGCAAGUCGAACGGCAGCAUAGAGAGCUUUCUCUCUGAUGGCGAGUGGCGAACGGGUGAGUAAUGCAUCGGAACGUACCGUGUAAUGGGGGAUAACGUAGCGAAAGUUACGCUCAUACCGCAUACGACCUGAGCGUGAAAGCAGGGGAUCGCAAGACCUUGCGUUAUACGAGCGGCCGAUGUCAGACCGGCUGGGUGGGGAGGUAAAGGCUCACAAAGGCGACGAUCUGUAGCGAGUCAGAGAGGAUGAUCCGCUACACUGGGACUGAGACACGGCCCAGACUCCUACGGGAGGCAGCAGUGGGGAAUUUUGGACAAUGGGGGCAACCCUGAUCCAGCCAUGCCGCGUGAGUGAAGAAGGCCUUCGGGUUGUAAAGCUCUUUCGGCCGGAAAGAAAUCGCACAGGCUAAUACUCUGUGUGGAUGACGGUACCGGCAUAAGAAGCACCGGCUAACUACGUGCCAGCAGCCGCGGUAA
Molecule: ribosomal RNA, 504 nt
Filed under: uncultured bacterium
Lineage: Bacteria
Description: partial 16S ribosomal RNA
Rfam family: Bacterial small subunit ribosomal RNA
Source: RNAcentral